GCAAGUCGAGCGAACAGAUAAGGAGCUUGCUCCUUUGACGUUAGCGGCGGACGGGUGAGUAACACGUGGGUAACCUACCUAUAAGACUGGGAUAACUUCGGGAAACCGGAGCUAAUACCGGAUAACAUUUGGAACCGCAUGGUUCUAAAGUGAAAGAUGGUUUUGCUAUCACUUAUAGAUGGACCCGCGCCGUAUUAGCUAGUUGGUAAGGUAACGGCUUACCAAGGCGACGAUACGUAGCCGACCUGAGAGGGUGAUCGGCCACACUGGAACUGAGACACGGUCCAGACUCCUACGGGAGGCAGCAGUAGGGAAUCUUCCGCAAUGGGCGAAAGCCUGACGGAGCAACGCCGCGUGAGUGAUGAAGGGUUUCGGCUCGUAAAACUCUGUUAUUAGGGAAGAACAAAUGUGUAAGUAACUGUGCACGUCUUGACGGUACCUAAUCAGAAAGCCACGGCUAACUACGUGCCAGCAGCCGCGGUAAUACGUAGGUGGCAAGCGUUAUCCGGAAUUAUUGGGCGUAAAGCGCGCGUAGGCGGUUUCUUAAGUCUGAUGUGAAAGCCCACGGCUCAACCGUGGAGGGUCAUUGGAAACUGGGAAACUUGAGUGCAGAAGAGGAAAGUGGAAUUCCAUGUGUAGCGGUGAAAUGCGCAGAGAUAUGGAGGAACACCAGUGGCGAAGGCGACUUUCUGGUCUGUAACUGACGCUGAUGUGCGAAAGCGUGGGGAUCAAACAGGAUUAGAUACCCUGGUAGUCCACGCCGUAAACGAUGAGUGCUAAGUGUUAGGGGGUUUCCGCCCCUUAGUGCUGCAGCUAACGCAUUAAGCACUCCGCCUGGGGAGUACGACCGCAAGGUUGAAACUCAAAGGAAUUGACGGGGACCCGCACAAGCGGUGGAGCAUGUGGUUUAAUUCGAAGCAACGCGAAGAACCUUACCAAAUCUUGACAUCCUUUGAAAACUCUAGAGAUAGAGCUUUCCCCUUCGGGGGACAAAGUGACAGGUGGUGCAUGGUUGUCGUCAGCUCGUGUCGUGAGAUGUUGGGUUAAGUCCCGCAACGAGCGCAACCCUUAAGCUUAGUUGCCAUCAUUAAGUUGGGCACUCUAGGUUGACUGCCGGUGACAAACCGGAGGAAGGUGGGGAUGACGUCAAAUCAUCAUGCCCCUUAUGAUUUGGGCUACACACGUGCUACAAUGGACAAUACAAAGGGCAGCUAAACCGCGAGGUCAUGCAAAUCCCAUAAAGUUGUUCUCAGUUCGGAUUGUAGUCUGCAACUCGACUACAUGAAGCUGGAAUCGCUAGUAAUCGUAGAUCAGCAUGCUACGGUGAAUACGUUCCCGGGUCUUGUACACACCGCCCGUCACACCACGAGAGUUUGUAACACCCGAAGCCGGUGGAGUAACCAUUUAUGGAGCUAGCCGUCG
Molecule: ribosomal RNA, 1422 nt
Filed under: Staphylococcus pseudoxylosus
Lineage: Bacteria; Bacillati; Bacillota; Bacilli; Caryophanales; Staphylococcaceae
Description: bacterial SSU rRNA
Rfam family: Bacterial small subunit ribosomal RNA
Source: RNAcentral